CGAUCUGUAGCUGGUCUGAGAGGACGACCAGCCACACUGGGACUGGGACACGGCCCAGACUCCUACGGGAGGCAGCAGUGGGGAAUUUUGGACAAUGGGGGCAACCCUGAUCCAGCCAUGCCGCGUGCGGGAAGAAGGCCUUCGGGUUGUAAACCGCUUUUGUCAGGGAAGAAAUCUUUUGGGCUAAUACCCCAGAGGGAUGACGGUACCUGAAGAAUAAGCACCGGCUAACUACGUGCCAGCAGCCGCGGUAAUACGUAGGCAGCAAGCGUUGUUCGGAGUUACUGGGCGUAAAGGGUGUGUAGGCGGUUCCUUAAGUUUGGUGUGAAAUCUCCCGGCUCAACCGGGAGGGUGCGCCGAAUACUGAGGAGCUAGAGUGCGGGAGAGGAGAGUGGAAUUCCUGGUGUAGCGGUGAAAUGCGUAGAUAUCAGGAGGAACACCGGUGGUGCAAACGGCUCUCUGGACCGUAACUGACGCUGAAACACGAAAGCGUGGGUAGCAAACAGGAUUAGAUACCCUGGUAGUCCACGCCCUAAACGAUGCAUAUUUGGUGUGGGUCAUUCAGUUGAUCCGUGCCGGAGCUAACGCGUUAAAUAUGCCGCCUGGGGAGUACAGUCGCAAGGCUGAAACUCAAAGGAAUUGACGGGGGCCCGCACAAGCGGUGGAGCAUGUGGUUCAAUUCGACGCAACGCGAAGAACCUUACCUGGGCUCGAACGGCUGGUCAACGACCUUGGAAACAGGGUUACUCCGCAAGGGGGUCCAGUCGAGGUGCUGCAUGGCUGUCGUCAGCUCGUGUCGUGAGAUGUUGGGUUAAGUCCCGCAACGAGCGCAACCCUCGUCCUGUGUUGCCAUGGCGCAAGCCAGAACUCGCAGGAGACCGCCAGCGAUAAGUUGGAGGAAGGUGGGGAUGACGUCAAGUCCUCAUGGCCUUUAUGUCCAGGGCUACACACGUGCUACAAUGGCCGGUACAAUACGCUGCUAACCUGCGAAGGGGAGCCAAUCGCCAAAAACCGGUCUCAGUUCGGAUUGCAGGCUGCAACUCGCCUGCAUGAAGCUGGAAUCGCUAGUAAUGGCAGAUCAGCACGCUGCCGUGAAUGCGUUCCCGGGCCUUGUACACACCGCCCGUCACAUCACGAAAGUGGAUUGUACUAGAAGUCUGCAGGCCGACCCGCAAGGGGGGCAGCGGCCCAAGGUAUGAUCCAUGAUUGGGGUGAAGUAGUAACAAGGUA
Molecule: ribosomal RNA, 1230 nt
Filed under: metagenome
Description: bacterial SSU rRNA
Rfam family: Bacterial small subunit ribosomal RNA
Source: RNAcentral